This 731-nucleotide ribosomal RNA is filed under the name Bacillus subtilis. RNAcentral describes it as "bacterial SSU rRNA". It matches the Rfam family "Bacterial small subunit ribosomal RNA", at positions 41 to 755 of the family's 1533-position model. Lineage: Bacteria; Bacillati; Bacillota; Bacilli; Caryophanales; Bacillaceae. The record is from RNAcentral.
GGCGGGGCUAAUACAUGCAGUCGAGCGGACAGAUGGGAGCUUGCUCCCUGAUGUUAGCGGCGGACGGGUGAGUAACACGUGGGUAACCUGCCUGUAAGACUGGGAUAACUCCGGGAAACCGGGGCUAAUACCGGAUGGUUGUUUGAACCGCAUGGUUCAAACAUAAAAGGUGGCUUCGGCUACCACUUACAGAUGGACCCGCGGCGCAUUAGCUAGUUGGUGAGGUAACGGCUCACCAAGGCAACGAUGCGUAGCCGACCUGAGAGGGUGAUCGGCCACACUGGGACUGAGACACGGCCCAGACUCCUACGGGAGGCAGCAGUAGGGAAUCUUCCGCAAUGGACGAAAGUCUGACGGAGCAACGCCGCGUGAGUGAUGAAGGUUUUCGGAUCGUAAAGCUCUGUUGUUAGGGAAGAACAAGUACCGUUCGAAUAGGGCGGUACCUUGACGGUACCUAACCAGAAAGCCACGGCUAACUACGUGCCAGCAGCCGCGGUAAUACGUAGGUGGCAAGCGUUGUCCGGAAUUAUUGGGCGUAAAGGGCUCGCAGGCGGUUUCUUAAGUCUGAUGUGAAAGCCCCCGGCUCAACCGGGGAGGGUCAUUGGAAACUGGGGAACUUGAGUGCAGAAGAGGAGAGUGGAAUUCCACGUGUAGCGGUGAAAUGCGUAGAGAUGUGGAGGAACACCAGUGGCGAAGGCGACUCUCUGGUCUGUAACUGACGCUGAGGAGCG